RNAcentral lists this ribosomal RNA (509 nucleotides) under uncultured bacterium. RNAcentral describes it as "partial 16S ribosomal RNA". It matches the Rfam family "Bacterial small subunit ribosomal RNA", at positions 29 to 507 of the family's 1533-position model. The record is from RNAcentral.
ACGCACGCUGGCGGCGUGCUUAACACAUGCAAGUCGAACGAAGAGCGAUGGAAGCUUGCUUCUAUCAAUCUUAGUGGCGAAGGGGUGAGUAACGCGUAAUCAACCUGCCCUUCAGAGGGGGACAACAGUUGGAAACGACUGCUAAUACCGCAUACGAUCUAAUCUCGGCAUCGAGGAUAGAUGAAAGGUGGCCUCUACAUGUAAGCUAUCACUGAAGGAGGGGAUUGCGUCUGAUUGGCUAGUUGGAGGGGUAACGGCCCACCAAGGUGAGGAUCAGGAGCCGGUCGGCGUGGAUGGACGGCCACAUUGGGACUGUGACACGGCACAGACGCCUACGGGAGGCAGCAGUGGGGAAUCUUCCGCAAUGGACGAAAGUCUGACGGAGCAACGCCGCGUGAGCGAUGACGGCCUUCGGGUUGUAAAGCUCGGUUAAUCGGGACGAAAGGCCUUCUUGCGAAUAGUGAGAAGGAUUGACGGUACCGGAAUAGAAAGCCACGGCUAACUACGUG